This 74-nucleotide transfer RNA is filed under the name Euglena gracilis. RNAcentral's name for it is "partial tRNA-Ala". It matches the Rfam family "tRNA". From Rfam's summary of the family: Transfer RNA (tRNA) molecules are approximately 80 nucleotides in length. Their secondary structure includes four short double-helical elements and three loops (D, anti-codon, and T loops). Lineage: Eukaryota; Euglenozoa; Euglenophyceae; Euglenales; Euglenaceae. The record is from RNAcentral.
UGGGCGUUUAGCUCAGUGGUAGAGCGCCCGCUUUGCAUGCGGGAUGUCGUGGGUUCAAACCCCACAUCGUCCAG